AAAGAAAGUAAGCAAGGGCGCAUGGCGGAUGCCUUGGCUCUCGGAGGCGAUGAAGGACGUGAUAAGCUGCGAUAAGCUUCGGGUAGGUGCAAAUAACCUUUGAUCCGAAGAUUUCCGAAUGGGACAACCCGUCAUUCUGAAGGAAUGACAUCUUGCAUAGCAAGAGGCUAACGCAGGGAACUGAAACAUCUUAGUACCUGCAGGAAAAGAAAAUAAUAAUGAUUCCCCUAGUAGUGGCGAGCGAACGGGGAUUAGCCCAAACCAAUGUUGUUACGGCAAUAUUGGGGUUGUAGGACCACGAUGUCGCAAGAAAUUUAGUGAGAAGAAUUCUUUGGAAAAUGAAACCAUAGACGGUGAUAGUCCGGUAUUCGAAGCUAAACGAAGCGUAGUGGUAUCCUGAGUAGCGCGGGACACGAGGAAUCUUGCGUGAAUCUGCCGGGACCAUCCGGUAAGGCUAAAUACUCCCGAGAGACCGAUAGCGAACCAGUACUGUGAAGGAAAGGUGAAAAGCACUUCGAAUAGAAGAGUGAAAUAGUCCCUGAAACCGUGCGCCUACAAGCGGUCGGAGCAGCGUAAGUUGUGACGGCGUGCCUUUUGCAUAAUGAACCUACGAGUUACUUUUUCCGGCAAGGUUAAGCAUUUCAAAAUGUGUAGCCGAAGCGAAAGCGAGUCUGAACAGGGCGAUUAGUCGGAAGGAGUAGACGCGAAACCAAGUGAUCUACCCUUGGUCAGGUUGAAGGUUAGGUAACACUAACUGGAGGACCGAACCGAUAAGCGUUGAAAAGCUUCCGGAUGAACUGAGGGUGGGGGUGAAAGGCUAAUCAAACUUGGAGAUAGCUCGUACUCCCCGAAAUGCAUUUAGGUGCAGCCUUGGGAAUUACUACUGUGAGGUAGAGCGACUGAUAAGAUGCGAGGGCUUCACCGCCUAUCAAGUCUUGAUAAACUCCGAAUGCGCAGUAGUUCGAUCCCAGGAGUGAGGGCAUGGGUGCUAAGGUCCAUGUCCUAAAGGAGAAGAAUCCGGACCAUCAGCUAAGGUCCCGAAAUAAUUGCUAAGUUGAACUAACGAAGUCAGAUUGCUAAGACAGCUAGGAUGUUGGCUUGGAAGCAGCCAUUCAUUUAAAG
This 1122-nucleotide ribosomal RNA is filed under the name Parabacteroides distasonis. Its description in RNAcentral is "partial 23S ribosomal RNA". It matches the Rfam family "Bacterial large subunit ribosomal RNA", at positions 1 to 1128 of the family's 2925-position model. Lineage: Bacteria; Pseudomonadati; Bacteroidota; Bacteroidia; Bacteroidales; Tannerellaceae. The record is from RNAcentral.